This is a non-coding RNA of Mycena galericulata, 93 nucleotides long. Lineage: Eukaryota; Fungi; Basidiomycota; Agaricomycetes; Agaricales; Mycenaceae. The record is from the annotation of a GenBank genome assembly.
GACUCAGUAGCACAUGGUGUGCGUCUGCUUCAUGUGACAGAUAUUUUCCGACUCCUCUGCAGGAGGUCCCCUGUUCGACUUGGGGCUGGGUCU